Non-coding RNA from Pelobates cultripes (western spadefoot toad), 395 nucleotides. The record is from the annotation of a GenBank genome assembly. NCBI's taxonomy places the organism in Eukaryota, Metazoa, Chordata, Amphibia, Anura, Pelobatidae.
AACAAACAUUGCUCCAGUCAUUAAUACUGUAGAACUGCACAAAGAGACCUCAGUCAUGAUGGGGUAAAGACAGAGACAGUACAAUGCAAGAAUUCCAUAUUAACAAAAUGUUUCAUUACACUCAUCAUACUCAAAUAGAUUUCCCGUGUAAUGAAUAGGUAUCAAUGUAAUUUUAAGCCCAAAUCCAACAUAGAGGAGGUUAAAUCGAUUACAUUUUGUAAGAAAGAUAAUAGUUACAUUUUAGUAUAUAAAACCACACAAUCACUGUUUUUUUUUUUUAAAAUAACCACUGCAUUGUGUUCAUUAUAGAUCGAUGUUUCUAAUGAUAUACUAGAAUGUAUUUCCUCAGAAUCUAAGUUGAUAGCACAUGCCUGUUUCACCUCUUCCAUUUUGAG